AAGAGCUGGAAUAUGCUGAUAAAACUCCAGACGUCCAGGGAGGAUGUCCAUCAAACGCUGAGCGCAGUUGUCAGUCGGAGCCGGGUUGUCUGCCGUCACACUCGUCCAGGAGUUCAUCAGGUUACCAGUGGAUAUCCGGUCUAACAGCGCUUCAAUCCGAACACCCAGACGUCCAGAGCCAAACCCGGCACGUCUUCACACUCCUGCAAAGGCAGCUGCAGGAGAACGGUCUGCUGAUGAAGCACGUGCUUCUGGUUCAUCUCUACGUGAGCGACAUGGAGAACUUCAGUCUGAUCAACUCCGUGUACUGCACCUACUUCACUCAAAAUCCUCCAGCCAGGGUCUGUGUUCAGGUGUGGCUCCUGGUCUCUCAGCAGCUGCGGAUGGACGUUCUGCUUCACGACGGGACGGUGGUCUGCGAGGAGGACGCUUUUCCUCAGAGAGGCACGCUUCACGUCCAGAGUCUGUCCCACUGGGCCCCGGCCAACAUCGGGCCCUACAGUCAAGCCGU
Long non-coding RNA from Sinocyclocheilus anshuiensis, 511 nucleotides. RefSeq lists it as uncharacterized. The record is from RefSeq and is a predicted model, not a curated record. Lineage: Eukaryota; Metazoa; Chordata; Actinopteri; Cypriniformes; Cyprinidae. The transcript has 4 exons.